RNAcentral lists this ribosomal RNA (325 nucleotides) under uncultured eukaryote. RNAcentral describes it as "partial 18S ribosomal RNA". It matches the Rfam family "Eukaryotic small subunit ribosomal RNA", at positions 1470 to 1796 of the family's 1831-position model. The record is from RNAcentral.
CCCUUAGAUGUUCUGGGCCGCACGCGCGCUACACUGAUGCAUUCAACGAGCCUAUCCUUGACCGACAGGUCCGGGUAAUCUUUGAAUCUGCAUCGUGACGGGGAUAGAUUAUUGCAAUUAUUAAUCUUCAACGAGGAAUGCCUAGUAGGCGCAAGUCAUCAGCUUGCGUCGAUUACGUCCCUGCCCUUUGUACCCACCGCCCGUCGCUCCUACCGAUUGGGUGUGCUGGUGAAAUGUUCGGAUCGGCCGUUUGUCGCGGUUUCCGCGGCUCGUGGCUGAGAAGUUCAUUAAACCCUCCCACCUAGAGGAAGGAGAAGUCGUAACA